This 253-nucleotide ribosomal RNA is filed under the name uncultured bacterium. Its description in RNAcentral is "partial 16S ribosomal RNA". It matches the Rfam family "Bacterial small subunit ribosomal RNA", at positions 524 to 776 of the family's 1533-position model. The record is from RNAcentral.
UACGUAGGGUGCGAGCGUUGUCCGGAAUUAUUGGGCGUAAAGGGCUCGUAGGCGGUUUGUCGCGUCGGGAGUGAAAACACCGGGCUUAACUCGGUGCUUGCUUUCGAUACGGGCAGACUAGAGGUAUGCAGGGGAGAACGGAAUUCCAGGUGUAGCGGUGAAAUGCGUAGAUAUCUGGAGGAACACCGGUGGCGAAGGCGGCAUCCUGGACCAACACUGACGCUGAGGAGCGAAAGCCAGGGGAGCAAACGGG